CAGUCGCCGCGGUAACACGGAGGGUGCAAGCGUUAAUCGGAAUUACUGGGCGUAAAGCGUGCGUAGGCGGUUCGUUAAGUCUGUUGUGAAAGCCCCGGGCUCAACCUGGGAAUGGCAAUGGAUACUGGCGAGCUAGAGUGUGUCAGAGGAUGGUGGAAUUCCCGGUGUAGCGGUGAAAUGCGUAGAGAUCGGGAGGAACAUCAGUGGCGAAGGCGGCCAUCUGGGACAACACUGACGCUGAGGCACGAAAGCGUGGGGAGCAAACAGGAUUAGAUACCCCAGUAGUCCCUGUCUCUUAUAU
RNAcentral lists this ribosomal RNA (301 nucleotides) under uncultured bacterium. RNAcentral describes it as "partial 16S ribosomal RNA". It matches the Rfam family "Bacterial small subunit ribosomal RNA", at positions 509 to 809 of the family's 1533-position model. The record is from RNAcentral.